This 477-nucleotide ribosomal RNA is filed under the name uncultured Glomeromycotina. RNAcentral's name for it is "SSU rRNA". It matches the Rfam family "Eukaryotic small subunit ribosomal RNA", at positions 712 to 1187 of the family's 1831-position model. The record is from RNAcentral. Lineage: Eukaryota; Fungi; Glomeromycota.
CGUCAUGUCAUUAAGUUGGUGUGGCGGGGAAUCAGGACUGUUACUUUGAAAAAAUUAGAGUGUUUAAAGCAGGCUCGCGCUUGAAUACAUUAGCAUGGAAUAAUGAAAUAGGACGUUUGACCCUAUUUUGUUGGUUUCUAGGAUCGACGUAAUGAUUAAUAGGGAUAGUUGGGGGCAUUAGUAUUCNAUUGUCAGAGGUGAAAUUCUUGGAUUUAUUGAAGACUAACUACUGCGAAAGCAUUUGCCAAGGAUGUUUUCAUCAAUCAAGAACGAAAGUUAGGGGAUCGAAGACGAUCAGAUACCGUCGUAGUCUUAACCAUAAACUAUGCCGACUAGGGAUCGGAUGAUGUUAAUUUUUUAAUGACUCAUUCGGCGCCUUACGGGAAACCAAAGUGUUUGGGUUCCGGGGGGAGUAUGGUCGCAAGGCUGAAACUUAAAGGAAUUGACGGAAGGGCACCACCAGGGGUGGAGCCUGCG